UUGACAGGGGAGCUUGUGGGACAGGCUGAGAGGAAGCUUUAAGCUUCGACCCUUUACCUGAUACGGGUAAUGCCGUCGUAGGGAGAGGAU
Molecule: non-coding RNA, 90 nt
Filed under: bovine gut metagenome
Description: TPP riboswitch (THI element)
Rfam family: TPP riboswitch aptamer (THI element)
About the family: Vitamin B(1) in its active form thiamin pyrophosphate (TPP) is an essential coenzyme that is synthesised by coupling of pyrimidine and thiazole moieties in bacteria. The previously detected thiamin-regulatory element, thi box was extended, resulting in a new, highly conserved RNA secondary structure, the THI element, which is widely distributed in eubacteria and also occurs in some archaea. Analysis of operon structures identified a large number of new candidate thiamin-regulated genes, mostly transporters, in various prokaryotic organisms.
Source: RNAcentral